UCCCUGGUGGUCCAGUGGUUAGGACUCUGCACUUUCACUGCUGAGGAGGCAGGUUCAGUCCCUGGUAGGGGAA
Molecule: transfer RNA, 73 nt
Filed under: Bos taurus (domestic cattle)
Lineage: Eukaryota; Metazoa; Chordata; Mammalia; Artiodactyla; Bovidae
Also listed under: 2 other names
Rfam family: tRNA
About the family: Transfer RNA (tRNA) molecules are approximately 80 nucleotides in length. Their secondary structure includes four short double-helical elements and three loops (D, anti-codon, and T loops).
Source: Rfam by way of RNAcentral